GGACGUGGCGGAAUUGGUAGACGCGCUAGAUUUAGGUUCUAGUAAGGUAAUACUUGUGAGAGUUCGAGUCUCUCCGUCCGC
Molecule: transfer RNA, 81 nt
Filed under: Hemiselmis tepida
Lineage: Eukaryota; Cryptophyceae; Cryptomonadales; Hemiselmidaceae
Rfam family: tRNA
About the family: Transfer RNA (tRNA) molecules are approximately 80 nucleotides in length. Their secondary structure includes four short double-helical elements and three loops (D, anti-codon, and T loops). Further hydrogen bonds mediate the characteristic L-shaped molecular structure. tRNAs have two regions of fundamental functional importance: the anti-codon, which is responsible for specific mRNA codon recognition, and the 3' end, to which the tRNAs corresponding amino acid is attached (by aminoacyl-tRNA synthetases). tRNAs cope with the degeneracy of the genetic code in two manners: having more than one tRNA (with a specific anti-codon) for a particular amino acid; and 'wobble' base-pairing, i.e. permitting non-standard base-pairing at the 3rd anti-codon position.
Source: RNAcentral